Molecule: ribosomal RNA, 253 nt
Filed under: uncultured prokaryote
Description: partial 16S ribosomal RNA
Rfam family: Bacterial small subunit ribosomal RNA
Source: RNAcentral
GACGAGCCACCCGAACGUUAUUCGGAAUUACUGGGCUUAAAGGGUGCGUAGGCGGUGCAGCAAGUCGGGAGUGAAAUACCUCAGCUUAACUGAGGAACUGCUUUCGAUACUGCUGUGCUUGAGUAAGACAGAGGUAAGCGGAACUUAGGGUGGAGCGGUGAAAUGCGUUGAUAUCCUAAGGAACACCGGUGGCGAAGGCGGCUUACUGGGGGUCUUCUGACGCUGAGGAACGAAAGCCAGGGGAGCGAACGGG